Herpailurus yagouaroundi (jaguarundi) is the source of this 1525-nucleotide long non-coding RNA. RefSeq lists it as uncharacterized. The transcript is spliced from 2 exons. Lineage: Eukaryota; Metazoa; Chordata; Mammalia; Carnivora; Felidae. The record is from RefSeq and is a predicted model, not a curated record.
CUCUCUCUCUCUGUCAAAAAUAAACAUUAAAAAAAAUUUUUUUUAAGUGGCAAGCAAUUAGAUUUUAUUCCUUCUUGUAAAACUUAUUCAGAAAAGGCAGUACAUUUUAUAUAUGGGAAAACAUGCAUAGUCAUUUUAAUUAUACCAUAUUCAGGAAUCCCACCCGGUGCCUCCUUUUGCACCAUCCCAGGAACCUAAUUAGCUUUCUGGUUAUGACUUCAUCUUGCUGCCACACUUGGAAUGACCACCAUUCAAACACAAUCAUACUGACAUGUAACAUGCUGCACUGUGACAUGGUCAGUGCCAUGUGGCAGCGCUUUCGGCCAAGUCUGACAUGUGCUGCCUCCUCUGGCUGACUGGUAUCUGAACCUGACAGAGGCUGUACAAAACCUUUCUGCUACCUGUUCAGGAGGCAGUGCAUGCCAGGGGCCCAAAUCAUUCUGCUUUCUUAAUCCUGUAUUCCCUUAGUAUAUGGAAAGAAACAGGAGAGUCUUCCCGACCUGGACCUGGGCAAAACUGUCAACCAUUCAAGAGAAACUUACAGCCAAAAAGAAGCAUGGCAUGGAAUUCCUCUGGACUAACCUUCACUUGCAAACUGAAGACCCAUGCUCUAAGUAGUGGAUGAGGCUUUGACAAGGCCACUCAGCUAGAGAGCAGGAAACGCUGGUGGGGGCGCAACUAGGACAGCACACUCUGCCAAAGCUGCAUCAUCAACCAACUGGGUGGGUUGCCCUAGAAAUCCUCCUUCUAGUUCCUGCCCCCCACACAGCUCCAGCUCGUUCUCUGGUUACUGCCCCUCUGCCCCAUCUCUGGCAUCUCUCUGGUCUGGUCGGUGCCAACUGUUUCUCUUGGUAUAUGCUAUCAGCUGGGAUCUGGUCAAGAGAAUAGUUAUGCUAGCCACAACUAAUGAUUAAUUCCUGGCAUCAUGUAACAAGCUGUGGAAGAAACUGAAAAUCCAGUCAUAAAAAAAGGACUCCAAAGGGCAGGAAUGUCACAUCAAAAUUUCCUAAGCGUAAGUAACUGCCCUCUCCCCAACCAAAAACUUCUUAGGUCUGUGGGAAGAAGAGAUGAAACAAAGAUGGCCUUUUUACAAGAUCAGAAAAUUCCCAAGCUAGAACAUACAGUGUCAGGGCAAUCAGAGUCUGAAGAGUCAAUCAUUUUUAUUUUUUUAAGCACUUUCUUGGAUGUUUUAUGAUUUGAAUGAUUCUGUUGUGAGUGUAAAAUAAUUGGCUUUUCCAUUUAAAAAAGCAAUAAUGUGUUUCUAGUAAAAAUGCUAGAUUAAAAAUACUCUCUUGUUAUAUGCCAAUAUUUUUUUCAUUUUUAUGUUUGCUAAUGUCUCCAGGCAGAUAGAAACAUCAGAUAAGCUAGAAGUGAAUUUCAAUAUAAAAAUUAUUCGUUGUACGUGAGUCAACAAUAUUCCCCACAGAAAGCUCUGCCGAGUGCUAUCAAUCUAAAACAUAUUGCUCUAUCAAGCCAUGCAUCAUCCAGGGAGAGUUAUAAAAUAAAAUCUUUCUUGAUUUCUUUA